Anneissia japonica is the source of this 420-nucleotide long non-coding RNA. RefSeq lists it as uncharacterized. The record is from RefSeq and is a predicted model, not a curated record. Lineage: Eukaryota; Metazoa; Echinodermata; Crinoidea; Comatulida; Comatulidae. The transcript is spliced from 2 exons.
UUUAACUUAAAUUUAAUUAUUGUUGAUCUCAUUUUGUCUAUCCCUCAGAUGAAUUUUGUUGAUGGUUCUAGCUAUAUGAACUAUGCAGGGAUAUUAGUGUGGCCAAUAUUUUGUUGAUGAGUUUGGGGUUAGGGGAAGUUUUAUAGGGGUCUAUUAUUUUCAUUAGUCUUGUGAAAGAAUGCAGUAAUUGAAAUGUGACUAAAUCUCACUUCUUUCUCUACAGGAAAUAUUGUAAGCAGCAGUAUGCAAACUGGGAGCAAGUUUAUGCUUAACAGAACAUGCACAAGCCUAUAGUUUUGAAUCCAAGAUUUACCCUGUCAGAUGGAUUUAAUAUUUUACCUCAACGGUAGACUGUUUAAUUUAACUUCUAUGCAGAGAGAAUCAAUAUACAUUUCAAUAACAGGCUGUGAAGAGAAGUCU